CAGCCGUAAACUAUGCUCGCUAGGUGUCAGGCAUGGCGCGACCGUGUCUGGUGCCGCAGGGAAGCCGUGAAGCGAGCCACCUGGGAAGUACGGCCGCAAGGCUGAAACUUAAGGAAUUGGCGGGGGAGCACAACAACGGGUGGAGCCUGCGGUUUAAUUGGACUCAACGCCGGACAACUCACCGGGGACGACAGCAAUAUGUAGGCCAGGCUGAAGACCUUGCCGGAUUAGCUGAGAGGUGGUGCAUGGCGUAGACGUCU
Molecule: ribosomal RNA, 260 nt
Filed under: uncultured archaeon
Lineage: Archaea
Description: partial 16S ribosomal RNA
Rfam family: Archaeal small subunit ribosomal RNA
Source: RNAcentral